UAGGGAAUCUUCGGCAAUGGACGAAAGUCUGACCGAGCAACGCCGCGUGAGUGAAGAAGGUUUUCGGAUCGUAAAACUCUGUUGUUAGAGAAGAACAAGGAUGAGAGUAACUGUUCAUCCCUUGACGGUAUCUAACCAGAAAGCCACGGCUAACUACGUGCCAGCAGCCGCGGUAAUACGUAGGUGGCAAGCGUUGUCCGGAUUUAUUGGGCGUAAAGCGAGCGCAGGCGGUUUCUUAAGUCUGAUGUGAAAGCCCCCGGCUCAACCGGGGAGGGUCAUUGGAAACUGGCAGGCUAGAGUCUUGUAGAGGGGGGUAGAAUUCCAGGUGUAGCGGUGAAAUGCGUAGAUAUAUGGAGGAACACCAGUGGCGAAGGCGGCUCUCUGGUCUGUAACUGACGCUGAGGCUCGAAAGCGUGGGGAGCAAACAGG
This 429-nucleotide ribosomal RNA is filed under the name Enterococcus sp. Its description in RNAcentral is "bacterial SSU rRNA". It matches the Rfam family "Bacterial small subunit ribosomal RNA", at positions 355 to 776 of the family's 1533-position model. The record is from RNAcentral. Lineage: Bacteria; Bacillati; Bacillota; Bacilli; Lactobacillales; Enterococcaceae.